Molecule: ribosomal RNA, 872 nt
Filed under: Cantharellus ferruginascens
Lineage: Eukaryota; Fungi; Basidiomycota; Agaricomycetes; Cantharellales; Hydnaceae
Description: partial large subunit ribosomal RNA
Rfam family: Eukaryotic large subunit ribosomal RNA
Source: RNAcentral
GGUUACCUCAGGUCAGAGAAGACUACCCGCUGGACUUAAGCAUAUCACUAAGCGGAGGAAAAGAAACUAACUAGGAUUCCCCCAGUAACUGCGAGUGAAGAGGGAAGAGCUCAUCAUUGGAAUCUGGCGGUGUUGCACCGUCCGAGUUGUAGAUGAGGAGUGGUUCRUCUGGACUGCAUGGCGUCCAAGUACAAUAGGCCGUCAGUGGGACAUCAUAGAGGGUGACAAUCCCGUCCUUGAUGCCAAUGUGCAAGUCCAUUACGAUGGCCAUCUCAGAGAGUCGAGCAGUUUGGGAUUUGCUGCUUAAACAUGGGADGUAGAUUCCUUCUAAAGCUAAAUACAGGCAAGAGACCGAUAGAGAACAAGUACCGCAAGGSAAAGAUGAAAUAGCACUCUGUGAAGGGWGUCAAAAGGCGUGAAAUUGUUGCGAGAGAAGCGAUUCAAGUCAGCGUAGCUAGGCCCAUUAAGCCUCUUUGCGCUUUGGACUAGCUUUGCCAGCGGUCUUGUCCUUAGAGACUUGACUUGUAUGUCCAGCCUGGUAUGCACAGGUAGCCCUCCGGGGUCAGUGACAUGGCUGGUGGAAUGGCUUGCAAUCGACCCGUCUUGAAACACGGACCAAGGAGUCUAACAUGUAUGCGAGUAUAAGGGUGGCAAACCYGUAUGCGCAAUGAAAGUGAUUUUCGGUGAUUGAGAAUGGCCUGAUGACCAGACAAGCAAUAUAUGUCCCUCGUACGGCCAUUGCCCAAGUUCCGUGGUAGAUCCCACGAACAUGGAGUUGGAGCAUACAUGCUAGGACCCGAAAGAUGGUGAACUAUGCCUGGACAAAGCGAAGCCAAAGGAAACUCUGGUGGAGGCUUGUAGCGAUUCUGACG